GCGGGUACCCGGACCGGCCCGUGUGUGUUACAAUGGACGGACGAGAUUUAAGAUACAUCUCUCCAUCCAAUCUCAACCGCCAGUUUCAACUUAGCCAAGUCCACCUCUCGAGUUCGAGAAGCACCCUCUCAGACUUCAGUCUCUCAGAUUCUCACUCUCCCUCGACUCCCUCGACUCCCUCUCCCUAUCCCUUCCUUCCCUCACUCUCAUACUCUCUCAGUCUCACUCACACACUUACUCUCACAGUGCUCACCGCCGUCGGGACCAACUCUCAGACUCUCACAGCGCUGUCGCGACCAACACAACGGCACCACCUCCGCCGUCGCGACCACCAUCAUCACCCCAUCACCACCGCCGUCGCGACCACCUGCUGCUACUAAAAUUUAGGCACUCCAUGGACUGAAGAUGAACAUACUAACUACAUAGCUUGGUAAAGGUGAUUGGCUGACGAUAUAGGUGCCAGCAUUGGUCUUCUUUAAAUUGAAAAUAAGUGAUUUAGUUUAGACUUACAUUUACCAUGGGUAGUGAGUUUAAUUGUUCGCUCUUUAUGCCCAUUUGCUCUUUAUGGUUAAUUGUGUUCACUUUGUUCAUAGUUUUUUUUGCUUAGUUAACUCAGCAUUUUAGUUACUGUAUAGUUAUUUGUUGGAGAUUUUGGUAGUGAGUUUUUAAGUGAUCUAAUAAUUCGGUUUUCGAUUUUGCGCAUAUUUAGGUGAACUUGAUCAUGGGUUUUGGAUUUUUUUGUAUAAAUAAGGGAAUUUGAUAUUGGAUUAAUGAUAUUUGUGUAUAUUUUUGGUGAAUUUUGUAUGGGGCUGUUUAUGUUUAUGUUUGUGUAAAUGACAAAAUGUUGAGGUGAAUCUGAUGUGGAGAUUUUGGUUUUUAGGGGUUUAGGAGCUGGUGAGUCUGUAGAAUAAGCUAAUUUCUUGACCCGUUUCGUAAAAUUUGCGAUAGGGAUUGGUAUGUAAUGUUAUGAGGGAGGGGCAUCUGAUUUCUGUGCUUGGAUCUGUGAUUAGUAUUUGAUUAAGUGCAUCAUACUGGAAUCUGUGUAAACUGCAAUCUGUGCAGUUUGAAACAAUCUGUGUAAACUGCAAUUUGUGCAGUUUUUUUCAAACUGCAAUAUGUGUAAACUGCAAUCCGUGCAGUUUAAAAACUGCAAUCUGUAAAUUAAGUGCAUCAUACUGGAAUCUGUGUAAACUGCAAUCUGUGCAGUUUGAAACAAUCUGUGUAAAUUGCAAUUUGUGCAGUUUUUUCAAACUGCAAUAUGUGUAAACUGCAAUCUGUGCAGUUUAAAAACUGCAAUCUGUAAACUGUAAUCUGUAAACUGCAAUAUGUGUAAACUGUAAUCUGUAAACUGUAAUCUGUAAACUGCAAUAUGUGCAAUUUAAAAACUGCAA
Long non-coding RNA from Malus domestica (apple), 1391 nucleotides. RefSeq lists it as uncharacterized. Lineage: Eukaryota; Viridiplantae; Streptophyta; Magnoliopsida; Rosales; Rosaceae. The record is from RefSeq and is a predicted model, not a curated record.